UACGUAGGGUGCGAGCGUUAAUCGGAAUUACUGGGCGUAAAGCGUGCGUAGGCGGUUCGUUAAGUUCGUUGUGAAAGCCCCGGGCUCAACCUGGGAAUGGCAGUGGAAACUAGGGGACUGGAAUCUGGCAGAGGGGGGUGGAAUGGCCGCGUGGUAGCAGUGAAAUGCGUAGAGAUGCGGCGGAACACCGAUGGCGAAGGCAGCCCCCUGGGCUGAGAUUGACGCUCAGGCACGAAAGCGUGGGGAGCAAACAGG
Molecule: ribosomal RNA, 255 nt
Filed under: uncultured bacterium
Lineage: Bacteria
Description: partial 16S ribosomal RNA
Rfam family: Bacterial small subunit ribosomal RNA
Source: RNAcentral